AUAGGCUCGCCCCGCGUCGGUCUGGCCGGGAGAUGUCCCGGCCGGCCAAGAGGGAAUCUGGUGAGAAUCCAGAGCUGCCCCGCAGCGGUGACGGAAACGAUGGUGGCCAGGGCACUGGGUCGGUGACGACCUGGGAAGCGGCCAUCGGUAGGUGGCACGGAGGUGCCGGAGUCCGGAGUCCGAAGACCUGCCGACGUGACCGCGGAACA
RNAcentral lists this non-coding RNA (209 nucleotides) under Gordonia sputi. Lineage: Bacteria; Bacillati; Actinomycetota; Actinomycetes; Mycobacteriales; Gordoniaceae. The record is from RNAcentral.